Molecule: ribosomal RNA, 445 nt
Filed under: uncultured Sphingobacterium sp.
Lineage: Bacteria; Pseudomonadati; Bacteroidota; Sphingobacteriia; Sphingobacteriales; Sphingobacteriaceae
Description: bacterial SSU rRNA
Rfam family: Bacterial small subunit ribosomal RNA
Source: RNAcentral
GUAAGGAAUAUUGGUCAAUGGGGGCAACCCUGAACCAGCCAUGCCGCGUGCAGGAUGACUGCCCUAUGGGUUGUAAACUGCUUUUGUUAGGGAAUAAACCCCACUACGUGUAGUGGGCUGAAUGUACCUAAAGAAUAAGGAUCGGCUAACUCCGUGCCAGCAGCCGCGGUAAUACGGAGGAUCCGAGCGUUAUCCGGAUUUAUUGGGUUUAAAGGGUGCGUAGGCGGCACUUUAAGUCAGGGGUGAAAGACGGCAGCUCAACUGUCGCAGUGCCCUUGAUACUGAAGUGCUUGAAUGCGGUUGAAGACGGCGGAAUGAGACAAGUAGCGGUGAAAUGCAUAGAUAUGUCUCAGAACACCGAUUGCGAAGGCAGCUGUCUAAGCCGUUAUUGACGCUGAUGCACGAAAGCGUGGGGAUCGAACAGGAUUAGAUACCCCAGUAGUCC